GGUCGUUUUUAGCUCAGCUUGGGAAGAGCACCUCCCUUAACAAGGAGGGGGGUCACUGGGUUCGAUCCCAGUAACGACCACCA
RNAcentral lists this transfer RNA (83 nucleotides) under Aeromonas salmonicida subsp. salmonicida. RNAcentral's name for it is "tRNA-OTHER". Lineage: Bacteria; Pseudomonadati; Pseudomonadota; Gammaproteobacteria; Aeromonadales; Aeromonadaceae. The record is from RNAcentral.